AUUGAACGCUGGCGGCAGGCCUAACACAUGCAAGUCGAGCGAGCGGCGGACGGGUGAGUAAUGUCUGUGAAACUGCCUGAUGGAGGGGGAUAACUACUGGAAACGGUAGCUAAUACCGCAUACCAUCAGAUGUGCCCCGAUGGGAUUUGCUAGUAGGUGGGGAAACGGCUCACCUAGGCGACGAUCCCUACCUGGUCUGAGCGGAUGACCAGCCACACUGGAACUGAGACACGGUCCAGACUCCUACGGGGGGCAGCAGUGGGAAAUAUUGCACAAUGGGCGAAAGCCUGAUGCAGCCAUGCCGGGUGUGUGAAGAAGGCCGUCGGGUUGUAAAGCACUUUCAGCGGGGAGGGGUUACCGGAAGAAGAAGCACCGGCUAACUCCGUGCCAGCAGCCGCGGUAUUG
RNAcentral lists this ribosomal RNA (405 nucleotides) under uncultured bacterium. RNAcentral describes it as "partial 16S ribosomal RNA". It matches the Rfam family "Bacterial small subunit ribosomal RNA", at positions 30 to 525 of the family's 1533-position model. The record is from RNAcentral.